AUGGGGGUCCCCAAAUUUUCGGGGGUCCCCAAACCCUCAGGGGUCCCCAAAUUUUCGGGCUUUGGUGACGUCAUGGGGGUCCCCAAAUUUUCGGGGGUCCCCAAAUUCCUGAGGGUCCCCAAAUUUUCGGGGGUCCCCAAACCCUCAGGGGUCCCCAAAUUUUCGGGGGUCCCCAAAUUUUCGGGCUCUGGUGACGUCAUGGGGGUCCCCAGAUUUUCGGGGGUCCCCAAAAUCCCAGGGUCAGGUGACGUUCCCAAAUUUUCGGGGGUCCAUAAAUUCCUGGGGGUCCCCAAAUUUUCGGGGGUCCCCAAAAUCCCAGGGUCAGGUGAUGUUCCCAAAUUCCUGGGGGUCCCCAAAUUUUCGGGCUUUGGUGACGUCAUAGGGGUCCCCAAAUUUUCCGGGGGGGUCCCCAAAUUUUCGGGCUUUGGUGACGUCAUGGGGGUCCCUAAAUUUUCGGGGGUCCCCAAAUUUUCGGGCUUUGGUGACGUCAUAGGGGUCCCCAAAUUUUUGGGGGUCCCCAAAUUUUCGGGCUUUGUUGACAUCAUGGGGGUUCCCAAAUUUUCGGGGGUCUCCGAAUUCCCGGAUCUCCUCAAAUUCCCGGAGCCCCCCCAAAAUUCGGGGUCGCCCUCCUCGAUUUCGGGGUCCCCGGUGCCGAUUUCGGGGUGCGGCCCCUCGGGGGCGCUGUCGGGGUCCCCCUGGAGCUCCUCCAGCUCCUCCUCUCGGGGGUCCGGGGGGGUCUCGGCGAACAAAACCUCGCGGGCGACCCCCGAAAUCCAUCGCUCGUGGGGCGGCACCGCCGUGAAUUUCGGGGGGUCCCCCGGGACGGGCGGGGCGGCCACGCCCAGCAGGAACCACAGGCCCCGCUCCUCGCAGGCCAGGGGGGACCCCAAAAAAUCCGCCUGGGGGGGACCCCGAAAAUAAAAUCCUCAGGUUGAUGGAGAGACACAAAUUUCCAAAAAAAAAAUUCCCCAAAAUGGUCCCAAAAUGCCCCAAAAAUGAUCCUGAAAAUGGUCCUAAAAUGCCCCAAAAACCAUCCCAAAAAUGGUCCCGAAAUACCCCAAAAACCGUCCCGAAAUACCCCAAAAACCGACCCAAAAAUGGUCCCAAAAUGCCCCAAAAAUGGUCCCGAUAUGUCCCAAAAACCGCCCCAAAAAUGGUCCCGAAAUACCCCAAAAAUAGUCCCAAAAACCAUCCCAAAAACGGUCCCGAAAUGCCCCAAAAACCGACCCAAAACUGGUCCCGAAAUGCCCCAAAAACCAACCCCAAAUAUGGUCCCAAAAUGCCCCAAAAAUGGUCCCGAAAUACCCCAAAAAUGGUCCCGAAAUACCCCAAGAACCGUCCCAAAAUACCCCCAAAACCAUCCCAAAAAUGGUCCCAAAAUGCCCCAAAAAUGAUCCCGAAAAUGGUCCCGAAAUACACCAAAAACCAUCCCAAAAUCAACCCCAAAAAUGGCCCCAAAGUG
This 1462-nucleotide long non-coding RNA is filed under the name Taeniopygia guttata (zebra finch). Its description in RNAcentral is "lncRNA (ENSTGUG00000028007.1)". The record is from RNAcentral. Lineage: Eukaryota; Metazoa; Chordata; Aves; Passeriformes; Estrildidae.